AGUAAGACCUUUCUCAUUAUGUCGACUACACGGGUGUGGUCCACUCUAAGUGCAAGAACAUUUAAAAGAUCAUUGAUAAGAUCAGGAUGCUCUUGCAAAUAGAAAUGGACGGCCUUGUAAUAAAGUUCCACAUUAGCAACUUUGACAACAAUAUCUUUGAACUGCAUAUGAUCCCAAGCAUCCGGAGAAUGAUUCAUGACAGUAGUGGCUGCCUCCACAUUAGCAACUUUGACAACUAUAUCUUUGAACUGCAUAUGAUCCCAAGCAUCCGGAGAAUGAUUCAUGACAGUAGUGGCAGCAUUGUCAAAUUCAUCAUAUUGGAUAUACAAAUAUGUA
This 336-nucleotide long non-coding RNA is filed under the name Nicotiana benthamiana. RNAcentral's name for it is "long non-coding RNA (NBEN_LNC029673)". The record is from RNAcentral. Lineage: Eukaryota; Viridiplantae; Streptophyta; Magnoliopsida; Solanales; Solanaceae.